UUGAACGCUGGCGGCAGGCCUAACACAUGCAAGUCGAGCGGAUGAAGAGAGCUUGCUCUCUGAUUCAGCGGCGGACGGGUGAGUAAUGCCUAGGAAUCUGCCUGGUAGUGGGGGACAACGUCUCGAAAGGGACGCUAAUACCGCAUACGUCCUACGGGAGAAAGCAGGGGACCUUCGGGCCUUGCGCUAUCAGAUGAGCCUAGGUCGGAUUAGCUAGUUGGUGAGGUAAUGGCUCACCAAGGCGACGAUCCGUAACUG
RNAcentral lists this ribosomal RNA (258 nucleotides) under Pseudomonas sp. ISO135_OTU1178. RNAcentral describes it as "partial 16S ribosomal RNA". It matches the Rfam family "Bacterial small subunit ribosomal RNA", at positions 30 to 289 of the family's 1533-position model. The record is from RNAcentral. Lineage: Bacteria; Pseudomonadati; Pseudomonadota; Gammaproteobacteria; Pseudomonadales; Pseudomonadaceae.